This is a long non-coding RNA of Zingiber officinale, 500 nucleotides long. RefSeq lists it as uncharacterized. The record is from RefSeq and is a predicted model, not a curated record. The transcript has 2 exons. Lineage: Eukaryota; Viridiplantae; Streptophyta; Magnoliopsida; Zingiberales; Zingiberaceae.
CUCUAUGAAGGAAAAUCUGUAAGGAAUAUUUGCUGAGGAUGGAUUGGGAUCUGGGAGCUGAGAAAUCCAAUUCUAACUUCAUUUACUGCAAUUCUCUGACAAAAGGAGCUCACGGCGAUUUAUGGCUGAAGUCCCAGGUAAGAUCUCUCUGUGGCAAAAAAAAAUAAAAUCGCUCGUCCCAGCGUCCCCAUCGCACCCGACCUAAGGCCAUCACGAGGAAGGUAAAUCAUAGCAUCCUGAGCGAACAUGUGAUAAGUGGGAUAAAUUACACAGAGACCGAGGAUUUACGAUCCCGACAUAGAUCUCUCUGGUAUCUUCAUCACACAGUUAAUUUUCAAUGUUUACUUUUUUCUAAUUAAACGAUAGUAUGAGACAAUAAUUUAUGCUGUUUCUUGUGAAUUUAUAUCUUUAUACUCUGCAUGGGUUGCAUACAGCAUUUAAAUUACACAGAAGCAGUUUUGUUUGAUUCCUUUGGAUGUUAAUGCGCUACUAACUUCCAA